GGGAUUAGCUAGUAGGUGGGGUAAUGGCUCACCUAGGCGACGAUCCCUAGCUGGUCUGAGAGGAUGACCAGCCACACUGGAACUGAGACACGGUCCAGACUCCUACGGGAGGCAGCAGUGGGGAAUAUUGCACAAUGGGCGCAAGCCUGAUGCAGCCAUGCCGCGUGUAUGAAGAAGGCCUUCGGGUUGUAAAGUACUUUCAGCGGGGAGGAAGGUGUUGUGGUUAAUAACCGCAGCAAUUGACGUUACCCGCAGAAGAAGCACCGGCUAACUCCGUGCCAGCAGCCGCGGUAAUACGGAGGGUGCAAGCGUUAAUCGGAAUUACUGGGCGUAAAGCGCACGCAGGCGGUCUGUCAAGUCGGAUGUGAAAUCCCCGGGCUCAACCUGGGAACUGCAUUCGAAACUGGCAGGCUAGAGUCUUGUAGAGGGGGGUAGAAUUCCAGGUGUAGCGGUGAAAUGCGUAGAGAUCUGGAGGAAUACCGGUGGCGAAGGCGGCCCCCUGGACAAAGACUGACGCUCAGGUGCGAA
RNAcentral lists this ribosomal RNA (528 nucleotides) under Enterobacter cloacae. Its description in RNAcentral is "bacterial SSU rRNA". It matches the Rfam family "Bacterial small subunit ribosomal RNA", at positions 237 to 757 of the family's 1533-position model. Lineage: Bacteria; Pseudomonadati; Pseudomonadota; Gammaproteobacteria; Enterobacterales; Enterobacteriaceae. The record is from RNAcentral.